GCAUUGGUGGUUCAGUGGUAGAAUUCUCGCCUGCCACGCGGGAGGCCAGGGUUUGAUUCCCGGCCAAUGCA
RNAcentral lists this transfer RNA (71 nucleotides) under Pelobates cultripes (western spadefoot toad). RNAcentral's name for it is "tRNA.Gly". It matches the Rfam family "tRNA". Rfam says of the family: Transfer RNA (tRNA) molecules are approximately 80 nucleotides in length. Their secondary structure includes four short double-helical elements and three loops (D, anti-codon, and T loops). Lineage: Eukaryota; Metazoa; Chordata; Amphibia; Anura; Pelobatidae. The record is from RNAcentral.